GCCCGGUUUUUCGAAAGGUGGUUAACUCUAACACCGUGUUAACUCUGUGUUAAACUCGGUGUUUAAGUUAACGAAAUGGUUAAGUGUUUUUCGAAAGUGUGUUAGGGUUUAACCAUGUGUUAACUCCGUGUUAACUUUAAUCCACCCCCAGUACCUUGGUUAAGAUUUAACACAGUGAUUAAAUAUGGCCGCCAGUGUAAUGAUUUUGCCACUUCAACUCAAAAAAUUGGUAUAAGAAGCAUUUUCCAGAAAUUUUAAAGUUUGAAAAAUCUUACAUAUGAUAUAAGAUACGGAAAAGCAACCGGCUUGACAUGAAAAGUUGCAGCAAUCUGUAUGAUAUAUUUAUGGAAGAAGGAUUUUACACAUGGUUCAUACCCCCUAUGUUGAAGGAUCCCUUCUUUUGAGGAGGCUGCAUUGUUGACAGCAGUAAAAGAUUUGGAAGAAGGAGAACAUGGUAUGUUCUGCUGGGUGACACUUGCUGUGCUUGGUACCUAAUUCUCCCAAAGCCAUAUCUCAUGAGGCCCACAAACUGCAGCCAAGGAAAAAUUUAAUCAAACAUGCAUACCAAGAUCAGAAGUGAAAUUGAGAGGUUCUUUUAUUUGCAUAAGAUUUGCAUGAUACAGGAAUUAACUGCCUGCCUGCAUUGUUUAUUUGAAGAGAACUUGGAGAGACCGAGAAAGAUGAGUAUUUGACAACAACCAACCUCUAAGCCUCAAACACCAUGCACCAAGAGAAGGAGAACAAUUAUUGUGACAUUUAAUCUAAUGUCUACAUCCUAAUUUAUAAUACACAAUAGCCAAAAAAAAAAUGAA
Molecule: long non-coding RNA, 812 nt
Organism: Magallana angulata
Lineage: Eukaryota; Metazoa; Mollusca; Bivalvia; Ostreida; Ostreidae
Exons: 3
Source: RefSeq, a predicted model, not a curated record